This 339-nucleotide ribosomal RNA is filed under the name uncultured bacterium. RNAcentral's name for it is "bacterial SSU rRNA". It matches the Rfam family "Bacterial small subunit ribosomal RNA", at positions 459 to 793 of the family's 1533-position model. The record is from RNAcentral.
UGUUCAUACGUUGACGGUAUUUAACCAGAAAGUCAACGGCUAACUACGUGCCAGCAGCCGCGGUAAUACGUAGGUGGCAAAGCGUUAUCCGGAUUUAUUGGGCGUAAAGAGAGUGCAGGCGGUUUUCUAAGUCUGAUGUGAAAGCCUUCGGCUUAACCGGAGAAGUGCAUCGGAAACUGGAUAACUUGAGUGCAGAAGAGGGUAGUGGAACUCCAUGUGUAGCGGUGGAAUGCGUAGAUAUAUGGAAGAACACCAGUGGCGAAGGCGGCUACCUGGUCUGCAACUGACGCUGAGACUCGAAAGCAUGGGUACGCGAACAGGAUUAGACUACCCUGGUAG